AAAUCUUAAAAACCAACGAUUCAUCAUCUGCUGGUUCAGUUACCACCUUCAACAUGUGGCAUAUCAAUCCUUACAUGCAAAUAUAGUAUAGCUAAGCACAGAGUGAUCACAAGCACUUCCACGCCAGCUGACUAGGAUGUAAUCUAGCUUGCCAUGUCUUGCUCAAAAUACAGGUUAAGCUCAAUGUGGCAAACACUGGGCUUAGAAUCACUACCACACCACAAAAUGAGAUGGUAGCUAACAUUCCCCUCCAAUGUCUAAUGUACACAACGUGUUUCAUAAUCAAUCUCGCAGACACCGGAUCUAAAAUACUACAUCCGUAUAACUCAUACCUCAGAAAGAGCACUUCAAGCAUGAAAUCUGGCAGCUCAACCCUGUCCCCCUCAUCAAAAUCACCUCAUACACUAUGGACCUCGUACAUUGGCACCGGCAGCAUCAUCUACAAAAUGUAUCAACCAUUCACUUGGUUAUCAGUUGAACAAUGACAUGUCUUUUCAAAUUGUCUUUGCAUAAAAUAAUUUUGUCUACUGAAGCUUGUAGCCGAGCACUUCAUAGCUCAUAAUCAUAUUCAUAAGUUCGUAGUCCAGGCUAUACGAGCUAUACAUCAGUGCCAGUUGUAAAACCCCGGAUCGCUAGUGUAAACUUUGAUUUGUACAAAAGACAGUAAGACAUUUCUUGGUCAAUCACCACAAACCGCAAGUCAAAGACGUGGUGCCACCUGAUCUGUCAACUAUCAAACAUCCGACCUUCCUUGUAAUGAUCAGCCGCGACACACGAAUCCACUGUCAACAGCCCGUUUGGUCCGAACUCCCUCACGAAGUCUUCUCCUGAUAGGACCACAAGAUUAUUAUUUUUUAGAUCAGAGCGCCACUAGGACCACAAGAUAUAGACCUAUAUGCUCGAACCACUUCUUGCGCGUGUCGAUGGUAGACACACAAGUUAACAAUUGCAAACGCUGUACUAACAACACUCAAACUUAACUUACUUGCUAAGUUCUCUGGAAGUGUAUGACAACAUCCUGUCAUAGAAAGUAGCAUGUCUCUUGUGUUUGGCUCUUCAUCCUUCAAACCAGCUUUUCCUCAGAACUUAUCACCCAUCUCACCCUUCACGAUGUCCUGACCAUGCCUAUCUGCAACCUUAGGUUACUCCUCAUCCAGCCUGACACCACGCACAAUCCCCUACCCACUUCAUCCUCAUGCUCAUGGAUGUCGGCAAAGAACUAUGUUAACUGAAUGCAAAGAUAACUCAAUUUUUAGAACAAAGCGAAAUGACAGAUGAUAACCUGAUUGUCUAGCAACAUCAUUGCGGUCAUAUUGCAUCAAGGCUUCAGGCACAUCGCAAGGUGUCCCAUCCCCUGCAAAUUCAAAAUGUUGCAGCAAAAUUUCAAUGAUCUCACAACACUCGGUCAGUCCAUCUGAAUGAUCUCACAACCUGUCACUGCAUUGUUGACACAACAACUCUUUUUCUGCCCCCUCGUACCCCUCCCAGAGCCAGCAUCAGCACCUGAUUUGCACAUAAUAUAUUUAAUAUCCCAGAGACGUAAGCGGGCCUCCAACACAUGGAAAUGACCUGGGUACAUUAUUAGUGCCAAUACCUCCACUAGUAUGAUUACUACCACGGGUUACUUGCCUCAAACUCUCUCCUGCUUCUCUAACUGUGGAUUAUCUCGCCAAAUUCAGUGAAAGCGAAUGAUUAUGACUCUCUCUAUGCUUAAUGUACUCCCUUUGUAAAGAAAUAAUAUAUUUCUUUACAGAGGAGUAUCAAACAUUGUCCUCUGCUUGUAAAAGUCUUUAUCAGAGCCAGACAUUCGCAAUGGCAAGACCUUCUGCUCUGAACACCAGCUUUACCCUACAAUAUGUUUUCAAUUCUUGAGAAUGCAGGAAAUAACAAGAACUGAGGACACGGCUAAAAUAUACCGGAGUAAUUGCCAACUGUACAAAGCAAAAUGUCUAAAUCAUACACCUUGCCAAGUGAGUCGAAAGUACUGCCAAGAACUGGAGCGGUCACACUAUCAGCUGGCUUUUCUAUAAAAACACCUGACAGCCUUCUCGAAGUCACUAAUGCGAGAUGGGCAGUGUCCUGCUGGGUGCGGCAGCACCAAUUCUCAGCCAGCAAACACAAACACACCUGUCAUGAAUUAUCUAAAUACUGUUGACACACGGCAAGCAUAGCAAUUCGCCAUCGCUGUAUGAUUCGCUCAUCCAUGUAAACCUAAAAUUCAAAAAUUCCACCAUUCUUGAUGGAAUCAGUGAGCUUUCUCCUCACCUUUUAUUUCAGCCGGGGCCUGGGGAUUCAUCUUCCCCGUGGAGAGCCUGGUGGUCGAAGGCAACUAGGCGAGUUAUCCCUUUUGUUCGCCACCACCGCAGCAGGCCCGAAGAUCCUGCCGUGGGAUGCUGCUGCGGCACCUCCACCUGAUUCGGCAGUCCCAUUUGCAGCAAAUCGCAUGGCACCAAACUUUCCCUACUUUCUGAAUAAUAUUGGAUCUGGCAUAUGAAAAACUCAACCUUCAACUACCAAGCAUCUAGCCUAAAAAUCGAUUCCAGACCGUCGGAUAGCUACGGAUCCACAUACCUGCCGAUUCCGAUCCGCAGUUCAGCUGCCCGGUCUCGUUGCCACUGCAGACGCUAAUGGCAGGAUUUUAUCCUUACAAACUUUGUUCUUACCUAUAGAACUACGUUUCUUUGCUAACCAUAAGAUCAAAUCCAGCACUAACCUACUCCAUCCAAGCGCUCGGGGAUUCAUCUUCCAGUUGACAGCUCCGAGGUCGGUGGCAAGUUGUCCCUCAUGUCAGCCGACGCUCCCUUGGCUGCCAAGAUCUGGGCGUCCACGCUGCCCAUCGGAGCCUCCUGCGCCGCCACCACCUGUUCCACCACCACCUGAUGCUCCACCACCGUAGCCACCACAGUCGGCUCCGCCGGUACUGGUGGCGGCACCAAACUCACUCCCACCACCUCUAGGAAAGUGGAUCUGAUCCAGGCCAAACCAAAUCUUUUCAAAGCACACAUCUGGUCGCUAAUAAACCGCAAGGACAGCGGGGGGAAGAAGUACCCGCGUAUAGGCUGCAUCAGAAACUCCAUGGGGUCGUCGCCGCCGCCAGCCUCGAGCUCUGAAGUGAGGUCAGGAAGGAACCAGAUCACCCGCACAAUUUCCGCCUGGGCCCAUCGAACGGAAAGCCAACUUCCUGGUCCACGGAUCAGACGAGAACGCCGAAACUGAUCCACGGCCCACCUCGUCAGCGACAAACGGACAUCGCACCGCGCGUUAAAAUAAGGCCAAGCACCAGCCCCUGUCCCACUAGUAUUCAACUACAGUGUCCAUUAUCUAGCACACCGCCAGCGGGCGUAUAAAGUAAUGGCGCAGUUCCAGAUGCUCUAUUCAACGCCCAAGAUAGCGAGCUCAUUUGAGCCCGCGUGCAGUUACUCCACGCUCAGGCUAGCUACAUUACUUGUGCGGUGCAUACCUACCGCGGGCCACCUCAGGUUGAGCAGAAAAGUCCAACACAUGCGCACUCGGGUGCUUGGCAUAUGCAGAGCCAGAGGACGCCGGGAUUGACGAUGACGAAUCAUGCAUACCCAGUCGUUGAAGAGGACUAUUCAGACUUAUCACCAACAGAAGUGUGCAGAGGCUAUUCUACUUUCUGGCUUGAUAUUCAGAAAGGGACUGUCUAGGUCUCAGUUGACUGAGACUUGGCGAAGUCUCAGUCGGCUGACGUCACCCCAGAUUAGGCCUGUUUAGCAUCCCUCCCAUGAUGGGCUUGUGGUGUGGGCUUUGCUUGUUUGUUUGUUUUUUGUUUUUGCUGUUUGCUUGGCCCGUUGUACCUAUAUCCCUGCCUACGGACGCAGCAAACACACAAUAGAAAAGCUAAACGACUGGAAAACUUUUGCUUCUCUCCCAGUUGUCUCUGAGAUAACUCCAUGGCAGAAAACUCCAACUUUGUCUCAGCGUGUUGUUUAAGUUUCUCUGAAGAAAAAAAAGUGAAGAAAGAAAACUGUAGUAUAUUAGAAGCAUGAGUUUCAGUAGUUGAUGACAAAAAAGAUAAUAAUUUUCAUGCUGGUGCUAAUUUUUGUAUGUCCAGCACACAUACUGUUCAGGACACGUACUGAACAUGUAGUACACUUGUUGUGGACAGAGAAAAGGUUGUACACUUGUUGUGGGCAGGGAAAAGGUUGAAAUUUUUUGUUGUUCUUGACACUUUCUGAAUAUGAUAAACUAAUGAACAUGGUUCUUGGCAUGAGACAAAAACAAGAAAAAUAUGUCAUGGAUUCAGAUUGCACAUACUGUCUUCUGCAUUUCGUGUAGCAGCCGGUGAAUACUUUGGCAUAGAGAUUUCCAAGCAGUCAUGCUCCAUCUCCACAUAAUUUGGUGACCCCAGUCCAAGUAAGAUAAAAUAUGCGAAAACAAAAAUUCCCUUAGAUUGUAAAUACAUAUGUUUGAGCUGUGUCACCAUCCCAGAAACUGACAUAAGCAUGAUUUUGUGUUUCCAUGGUAGCCGUACCUUGGUGUCCAGUAUGUGCAGCAACAACAGCCUGCGAUGAAUUUGGCAUUCCAACCAUCUCCAAGUGCAUUUGCACCACAUGUACGAGCUUUUCUUGAAAAAAAAUAUUUCUUGUGCCCUCUUUAAGUUCCCUGCUUCAUGAAUGACCUGCCGCUCUACUAUCAUGCCCUUGUAAUU
Molecule: long non-coding RNA, 4672 nt
Filed under: Triticum aestivum (bread wheat)
Lineage: Eukaryota; Viridiplantae; Streptophyta; Magnoliopsida; Poales; Poaceae
Description: long non-coding RNA (TAES_LNC026841)
Source: RNAcentral